RNAcentral lists this ribosomal RNA (253 nucleotides) under uncultured bacterium. RNAcentral's name for it is "partial 16S ribosomal RNA". It matches the Rfam family "Bacterial small subunit ribosomal RNA", at positions 524 to 776 of the family's 1533-position model. The record is from RNAcentral.
UACGUAGGGCGCAAGCGUUGUCCGGAUUUAUUGGGCGUAAAGAGCUCGUAGGCGGUUUGUCGCGUCUUCCGUGAAAACUGGGGGCUUAACUUCCAGCUUGCGGUGGAUACGGGCUGACUGGAGUGCGGCAGGGGAGACUGGAAUUCCUGGUGUAGCGGUGGAAUGCGCAGAUAUCAGGAAGAACACCCGUGGCGAAGGCGGCUCUCUGGAACGCAACUGACGCUGAGACGCGAAAGCGUGGGGAGCAAACAGG